CGCGGGGUGGAGCAGCAGCACGGUAGCUCGUCGGGCUCAUAACCCGAAGGUCGCAGGUUCAAAUCCUGUCCCCGCAACCA
RNAcentral lists this transfer RNA (80 nucleotides) under Bacillus thuringiensis. RNAcentral's name for it is "tRNA-Met". It matches the Rfam family "tRNA". From Rfam's summary of the family: Transfer RNA (tRNA) molecules are approximately 80 nucleotides in length. Their secondary structure includes four short double-helical elements and three loops (D, anti-codon, and T loops). Lineage: Bacteria; Bacillati; Bacillota; Bacilli; Caryophanales; Bacillaceae. The record is from RNAcentral.